CCUACGGGAGGCAGCAGUGAGGAAUAUUGGGCAAUGCCCGAAAGGGUGACCCAGCAACGCCGCGUGGAGGAUGAAGUCCUUCUGGACGUAAACUCCUUUUAGAGGGGACGAAAAGCCCGAUUUGUCGGGAAUUGACGGUACCCUCAGAAAAAGCACCGGCUAACUACGUGCCAGCAGCCGCGGUAAUACGUAGGGUGCAAGCGUUGUCCGGAUUCACUGGGUGUAAAGGGUGCGCAGGCGGGCUCUUAAGUCAAAGGUGAAAUCUCUGGGCUUAACCGAGAAAUUGCCUUUGAUACUGGGAGCCGUGAGUACGGGAGAGGGAGAGGGAAUUCCGGGUGUAGCGGUAAAAUGCGUAGAUAUCGGGAGGAACACCGGAGGCGAGGGCGGUCUCCUGGCCCGUUACUGACGCUGAGGCACGAAAGCGGGGGGAGAAAACAGGAUUAGAUACCCCGGGAGU
RNAcentral lists this ribosomal RNA (457 nucleotides) under uncultured Ignavibacteria bacterium. RNAcentral describes it as "partial 16S ribosomal RNA". It matches the Rfam family "Bacterial small subunit ribosomal RNA", at positions 338 to 794 of the family's 1533-position model. Lineage: Bacteria; Pseudomonadati; Ignavibacteriota; Ignavibacteria. The record is from RNAcentral.